CGGAAAUGCGGUGAACUUCCAGAUUGAAAAUUCCUGGUUCCUUGCUGCUGUGAGAAGGCCCCUGCUCUUGGCAUUUCCAUUGUGGAACUUAUACUCUUGUUUGGCAAGGGGGAGCCCGAAAAUGAUGAGAUUGCAGAACUGGCUAAAGAACCAUUCUCUUCUCCAGGAGCUUUAGGAAAUUCCAGGGAUCGCUCUUGUUUUUCCCUUAAUGCCUCCUUCUUUAUAUCUUCAAUACUCUUUCCAGAGCUGACCUUUCGAUAUGGCCACCGCACCAGACCAUUCUCAUAGCAUAUUUUCUUGAGAACACUUGCACAAACACCUAGGGAUUCAGCAGCAUCAGAGAGAGGCAAACUGAACAACUUGGAAACGUCAUCAAAGGAUACAGAUUUUGGGUCCAUAAUUGGUUUCGGAUACGGAUUCGGAUUCGGAUUCUGAAUCGGGUUUGGGUUGGAGCUUGGAGCUGAACCUUG
Molecule: unclassified non-coding RNA, 470 nt
Filed under: Hevea brasiliensis (rubber tree)
Lineage: Eukaryota; Viridiplantae; Streptophyta; Magnoliopsida; Malpighiales; Euphorbiaceae
Source: RNAcentral